RNAcentral lists this long non-coding RNA (493 nucleotides) under Ananas comosus (pineapple). RNAcentral's name for it is "long non-coding RNA (ACOM_LNC039176)". Lineage: Eukaryota; Viridiplantae; Streptophyta; Magnoliopsida; Poales; Bromeliaceae. The record is from RNAcentral.
UUUUUUUUUUUUUUUAAAAAUUAUCAAACAGCUUUACAAAAUUAUUUUAGAAAAAUUAUUUUUCUAUCAAAUUCAGUUAAAUACUCUAUAGCUUUUAACUCGAUAGUAAUUUUUCAAAUCAAAAUCAAUUCAGUAGAAAUUACUUCUCAAACUAAAUUGCACACUUGGUCCUCACACUAAGAGGCCAUUGACACUUUGAUCCUCAAACUUUAAUUUGUUGUAACUUUUAGCUUGUACUUUCAGAAUUAUUGCAAUCAAGACUUAUAACACAAUUUAAUUAAUUAAAUAUUGAUAUAUCACUAAUAUGAGGUGAUAUAAUAGUGUUGUGAUUGAUGAUGCACAAGUAAUUAUAAUAUCACAUCACUUUUAUAUCAACAAUAUGAUAAAAUUUAGUCAACUAAUUUAUAGCGGGACUUAAUUGCAAUAAUUCUAAAAGUUUGAACUAAAAAUUACAAUAAAUUAAAAUUUAAAUACUAAAAUGUCGCAUGCUCCA